ACUCCUACGGGAGGCAGCAGUGGGGAAUAUUGCACAAUGGGGAAACCCUGAUGCAGCCAUGCCGCGUGUGUGAAGAAGGCCUUCGGUUGUAAAGCACUUUCAGUAGGGAGGAAGGUAGUGUAGUUAACACCUGCAUUAUUUGACGUUACCUACAGAAGAAGCACCGGCUAACUCCGUGCCAGCAGCCGCGGUAAUACGGAGGGGUGCGAGCGUUAAUCGGAAUUACUGGGCGUAAAGCGCAUGCAGGCGGCCUGUUAAGUCAGAUGUGAAAGCCCGGGGGCUUAACCUCGGAAUUGCAUUUGAAACUGGCAGGCUAGAGUCUUGUAGAGGGGGUAGAAUUUCAGGUGUAGCGGUGAAAUGCGUAGAGAUCUGAAGGAUACCAGUGGCGAAGGCGGCCCCUGGACAAAGACUGACGCUCAGAUGCGAAAGCGUGGGGAGCAAAC
This 443-nucleotide ribosomal RNA is filed under the name uncultured bacterium. RNAcentral describes it as "bacterial SSU rRNA". It matches the Rfam family "Bacterial small subunit ribosomal RNA", at positions 335 to 773 of the family's 1533-position model. The record is from RNAcentral.